CCAGCACCUGCGGUAAUUCCAGCUCCAAUAGCGUAUAUUUAAGUUGCUGCAGUUAAAAAGCUCGUAGUUGGAUUUCGGGUGGGGCCUGCCGGUCCGCCGUUUCGGUGUGCACUGGCCGGGCCCACCUUGGUGCCGGGGACGGGCUCCUGGGCUUAACUGUUCGGGACUCGGAGUCGGCGAUGUUACUUUGAGUAAAUUAGAGUGUUCAAAGCAGGCCUACGCUCUGAAUACAUUAGCAUGGAAUAACACGAUAGGACUCUGGCCUAUCUGUUGGUCUGUGGGACCGGAGUAAUGAUUAAGAGGGACAGUCGGGGGCAUUCGUAUUCCAUUGUCAGAGGUGAAAUUCUUGGAUUUAUGGAAGACGAACUACUGCGAAAGCAUUUGCCAAGGAUGUUUUCA
RNAcentral lists this ribosomal RNA (399 nucleotides) under uncultured eukaryote. RNAcentral describes it as "SSU rRNA". It matches the Rfam family "Eukaryotic small subunit ribosomal RNA", at positions 567 to 972 of the family's 1831-position model. The record is from RNAcentral.